Molecule: non-coding RNA, 87 nt
Filed under: Pseudomonas psychrophila
Lineage: Bacteria; Pseudomonadati; Pseudomonadota; Gammaproteobacteria; Pseudomonadales; Pseudomonadaceae
Source: RNAcentral
UGUGGGAGCGGGCUUGCUCGCGAUGCAGGCUGCGCGGUUUUACGGUUAAGCCGCGUUGAUGCCAUCGCGAGCAAGCCCGCUCCCACA